CCUGGCCUUGACAUACUAAGAACUUUCCAGAGAUGGAUUGGUGCCUUCGGGAACUUAGAUACAGGUGCUGCAUGGCUGUCGUCAGCUCGUGUCGUGAGAUGUUGGGUUAAGUCCCGCAACGAGCGCAACCCUUUUCCUUAUUUGCCAGCGGGUUAAGCCGGGAACUUUAAGGAUACUGCCAGUGACAAACUGGAGGAAGGCGGGGACGACGUCAAGUCAUCAUGGCCCUUACGGCCAGGGCUACACACGUGCUACAAUGGUCGGUACAAAGGGUUGCUACCUCGCGAGAGGAUGCUAAUCUCAAAAAAGCCGAUCGUAGUCCGGAUCGCAGUCUGCAACUCGACUGCGUGAAGUCGGAAUCGCUAGUAAUCGCGGAUCAGAAUGCCGCGGUGAAUACGUUCCCGGGCCUUGUACACACCGCCCGUCACACCAUGGGAGUUUGUUGCACCAGAAGUAGGUAGUCUAACCGCAAGGAGGACGCUUACCACGGUGUGGCCGAUGACUGGGGUGAAGUCGUAACAAGGUAAGCGUAGAUGA
RNAcentral lists this ribosomal RNA (537 nucleotides) under uncultured bacterium. RNAcentral describes it as "bacterial SSU rRNA". It matches the Rfam family "Bacterial small subunit ribosomal RNA", at positions 974 to 1509 of the family's 1533-position model. The record is from RNAcentral.